This 385-nucleotide ribosomal RNA is filed under the name uncultured bacterium. RNAcentral describes it as "bacterial SSU rRNA". It matches the Rfam family "Bacterial small subunit ribosomal RNA", at positions 30 to 421 of the family's 1533-position model. The record is from RNAcentral.
AUUGAACGCUGGCGGCAUGCCUUACACAUGCAAGUCGAACGGUAGAGUAGCAAUACUUGAGAGUGGCGAACGGGUGAGUAAUAUAUCGGAACGUGCCCAGUCGUGGGGGAUAACGUAGAGAAAUUUACGCUAAUACCGCAUACGAUCUAUGGAUGAAAGCGGGGGAUCGCAAGACCUCGCGCGAUUGGAGCGGCCGAUAUCAGAUUAGGUAGUUGGUGAGGUAAAGGCUCACCAAGCCGACGAUCUGUAGCUGGUCUGAGAGGACGACCAGCCACACUGGGACUGAGACACGGCCCAGACUCCUACGGGAGGCAGCAGUGGGGAAUUUUGGACAAUGGGCGCAAGCCUGAUCCAGCAAUGCCGCGUGCAGGAUGAAGGCCUUCGG